GAUGAACGGGUAGUGGGUUGGUUGUGGCAGUGGCUUGCUGUGAAGGGGUAGAUCACAAUUCCAGUAGCUGUUCUUCAUUUGGGAACCAUUAGCUCUGUGAGAGCUCGGAUCUGUGAAUCAGCAACAUUGGGCAGCAUCAGUGUGCUAGUUCCGGCGAGUCCAUCUUCCGGCAGUGAGUCAACAUUGAGGAGUUAGGUUUUGCUGGAGUUGUGGGAAUAG
Molecule: long non-coding RNA, 219 nt
Organism: Zingiber officinale
Lineage: Eukaryota; Viridiplantae; Streptophyta; Magnoliopsida; Zingiberales; Zingiberaceae
Exons: 3
Source: RefSeq, a predicted model, not a curated record